CACUGACAUUAGAUACCCGCGUAGUCCCAGCCGUAAACUAUGCGCGUUAGGUGUAUCGGUGACCACGAGUUACCGAGGUGCCGAAGGGAAACCGUGAAACGUGCCGCCUGGGAAGUACGGUCGCAAGGCUGAAACUUAAAGGAAUUGGCGGGGAGCACCACAACGGGUGGAGCCUGCGGUUUAAUUGGACUCAACGCCGGGAAGCUCACCGGAUAAGACAGCGGAAUGAUUGCCGGGCUGAAGACUCUGCAUGACUAGCUG
This 261-nucleotide ribosomal RNA is filed under the name uncultured archaeon. RNAcentral's name for it is "partial 16S ribosomal RNA". It matches the Rfam family "Archaeal small subunit ribosomal RNA", at positions 720 to 982 of the family's 1478-position model. The record is from RNAcentral.